AACCCAGGGAGUCAGUGCCUUGUAUUUCAACCAAACAGCUUCUGAGCAGCUGCUGCAGUUUGCUGCUUGGGUAAUCACCAUGAGCCGGUUUUAAAGCACAGCCUUGAUAAAGCACAGCCACAGGAGCAUCUGAGACUUGGGCAACACAACUGUUUUCGCAGCUUGACUGAUGCAACCCUGUUGGUCAAUCUUCCUCUCUGCCUACAACGGCCGUUUAAUUAGCAGAGGUGUGAGAAACAAACGGUUCUUGUCCUCUGCUGCAGCGUGAAAACCUUUGGUGGCCAAGAUCUUUCUUGGGAUCUGGGAAUAUGUCACACCUAGGGAAUAUGUCCUGGCAGGGACAGCAGCGAGCCCUGCAGGCACCAGAAGGACCCUUCUUGCUCUGAUGCUUGCAUUUGCUGAGAAGAACGUAUCAGGAGUUGGCUUCCCUUUCCUGACAAUCCUGUGACUGCAGUAACCAUCAACAGCCACAACCCCAGCCCAGUCAUUAACUCUGAAACCAGCCGGAGUGUGGCCAUCCCAUCGGGAAUGGUUUUCAAUGCAGCACGCUUCAUGUGACAGAUGUUGGUUUGUGUUUUGCACCCCGGGUGUAUGGAUUCAAGCCUUAAAGAAGAAACAGAAGUGAAGAAGCUGAAGAACCAGCCACUGUGUCUAGAAGGGCCUCUCCCAGCCACAGCAUCCUGCAUGUGGCCAUUUGAUGUGAGAAGGCUGUAGGUGCUGGCCCUCAGCUGGAUCCUGCCAUUCAAUGAGCAGCCCUUUCAGAAGUGCUUGCCAAGGUCAGGGGAGAGCUUACAACCUAAUGCUGCCGUCCCGUAGAUCAAAGAACGUGCAGACAUGAGAGAUCAGAACAGCCAACACAGCAGAGGCAGGCUGAGCACACCAAGGUCCCAACAGACGGAGGAACAUCAGGUUCCUGCACAGCCUGGUAUGAGCAGACCAGAGGAGCAGCUCUGCUUGGAGAGGCUGUGGAGGGAUAACAUUGGGAACACAGGCUCCCUGCACAAGGUCUGAGCACGUUAAGUCAGUCUCAUGACCUGGAUGGCUUCUGUGCUAGAC
Long non-coding RNA from Neopsephotus bourkii (Bourke's parrot), 1056 nucleotides. RefSeq lists it as uncharacterized. Lineage: Eukaryota; Metazoa; Chordata; Aves; Psittaciformes; Psittacidae. The transcript is spliced from 3 exons. The record is from RefSeq and is a predicted model, not a curated record.